Molecule: ribosomal RNA, 245 nt
Filed under: uncultured bacterium
Lineage: Bacteria
Description: partial 16S ribosomal RNA
Rfam family: Bacterial small subunit ribosomal RNA
Source: RNAcentral
UACAGAGGUGGCAAGCGUUGUUCGGAAUUACUGGGCGUAAAGGGCGCGUAGGCGGCCAUCUAAGUCAGACGUGAAAUCCCCCGGCUUAACCUGGGAACUGCGUCUGAUACUGGACGGCUUGAGUAUGGGAGAGGGAUGUAGAAUUCCAGGUGUAGCGGUGAAAUGCGUAGAUAUCUGGAGGAAUACCGGUGGCGAAGGCGGCAUCCUGGACCAUUACUGACGCUGAGGCGCGGAAAGCUAGGGGA